Girardinichthys multiradiatus is the source of this 676-nucleotide long non-coding RNA. RefSeq lists it as uncharacterized. The record is from RefSeq and is a predicted model, not a curated record. Lineage: Eukaryota; Metazoa; Chordata; Actinopteri; Cyprinodontiformes; Goodeidae. The transcript has 2 exons.
GGCAGGAUCAUCUGGCACUGAACGGACCCAGCCUUCUUCUACUUUGGUUGAGGCUUUAUCUUCUUCUUCAAAUGAUGAUGGUGUAGAAGACGAAGAAGAUGAGGAGAAUGAGGCACCUGCCCUUCAGCUACAAAGUGCCUCAAUGCCAAUGAAACGCAAUGCAGCUUCUGUCCCAAGAAAAAGGAGCAGCUCAUCCAAGCCAACAAAGAGAGGUAAACAACUCUCGAGGCAGACGAGUCAGGCUACCUCUAGUCCUGGUGAUGACAACAAGGCCAAGUGGAACUUUCAAAGUGAGCCUGACAUUUAGGCACAACCUCCUAUAUACCCUGAGGCAUGCUCCAGGACCAAGAAUUGACACCACAAAAUCAUGGUUACCUCUGACUCUGUUGAAGCUGUUUUUAGUGCAAGCACCAUCCGGACCUUAAUCAGUAAUACUAAUUCAUAUGCGCAAAGGACAAUUUCAGCUGGCAAGAAUUUCCUGUGGUCACCAAGUUUAUUUAUAUAGUUUUUAUUGCUAAUUGUUUUUCCACAUUUGCUUAUAUAGUUUUUAUUGAUGGUUGGGUUUUUUUGCACAUUUGUUUAUAUAAGUUUUAUUGAUAAUUGUCUAUGCAUAUUUGUUUGUUUUUCACUGCUAAUUCUUUUUUCAAUAAAAUUCCUCCAGUUGGAGAUAAAAGGA